UUGUGUGGCAUUGCCGAUACGCCGGAGCCCCAGCAUGCUUGGCGUCCGCAUUGCCGAUACCCCGGAGCCCCAGUCUCUCGGGGCGCAGAAGACGGAAGGCGCGAACAACGAAGACGAGCACAUCGAGACCCCCAGCGCGCGCGACUGCGAUGACGGCGCAACGGACGGCG
This 170-nucleotide non-coding RNA is filed under the name Lingulaulax polyedra. Lineage: Eukaryota; Dinophyceae; Gonyaulacales; Lingulodiniaceae. The record is from RNAcentral.